This 510-nucleotide ribosomal RNA is filed under the name uncultured bacterium. RNAcentral describes it as "partial 16S ribosomal RNA". It matches the Rfam family "Bacterial small subunit ribosomal RNA", at positions 28 to 507 of the family's 1533-position model. The record is from RNAcentral.
GACGAACGCUGGCGGCGUGCUUAACACAUGCAAGUCGAACGAAGAGCGAUGGAGGCUUGCUUCUAUCAAUCUUAGUGGCGCACGGGUGAGAAACGCGUAAUCAACCUGCCCUUCAGAGGGGGACAACAGGGGGAAACGACUGCUAAUACCGCAUACGAUCUAAACUCGGCAUCGAGGAGAGAUGAAAGGUGGUCCCUACAUGUAAGCUAUCACUGAAGGAGGGGAUUGCGUCUGAUUAGCUAGGUGGGGGGGUAACGGCCCACCAAGGCGAUGCACAGUAGCCGGGCUGGGAGGAGGAACGGCCAAAAUGGGACCGGGACACGGCCCCGGCCCCUACGGGAGGCCGCAGUGGGGGAACUUCCGAAAUGGGCGAAAGUCUGACGGGGCAACGCCGGGGGGGGGAUGGCGGCCUUCGGGUUGUAAAGCUCUGUUAAUCGGGACGAAAGGCCUUCUUGCGAAUAGAGAGAAGGAUUGACGGUACCGGAAGAGAAAGCCACGGCUAACUACGUG